Molecule: ribosomal RNA, 1805 nt
Filed under: human oral metagenome
Description: bacterial LSU rRNA
Rfam family: Bacterial large subunit ribosomal RNA
Source: RNAcentral
CUAGGAUGUUGGCUUAGAAGCAGCCACACAUUCAAAGAGUGCGUAAUAGCUCACUAGUCGAGAGGUCUUGCGCCGAAAAUGUCCGGGGCUAAAACACAACACCGAAGCUUAGGAAUGUAGCAAUACAUUGGUAGAGGAGCAUUUUUAUAGGCGUAGAAGCUGUACCGAUAAGGAGCAGUGGAGUAAUAAAAAGAGAGAAUGCCGGAAUGAGUAGCGAGAUGAAGGUGAGAAUCCUUCAGGCCGAAUAUCUAAGGUUUCCAGAGUAAAGCUGAUCUGCUCUGGGUAAGUCGGGACCUAAGGCAAGGUCGAAAGACGUAGUCGAUGGACAACAGGUUUAGAUUCCUGUACCGCUUAUUAUCAGAAAUGUGGGGACACAGAGACGUAUCCAAACCCAGGAAUGCAAAGACUGGGGCAAGCCAAGUACUGGUAUGGCAGGAAAAUCCGCCAUGCAACAGGAAGAGGUGAUGCGGACCGAAAUCAAGUAGGGAAGUUGGAGAAGGAGCUGUCAAGAAAAGCCGCUAUUGUGUGAUAAGUGCCCGUACCGUAAACCGACACAGGUGGAUGAGGAGAGAAUCCUAAGGCCGGCGGGAGAAGCAUUGUUAAGGAACUCGGCAAAAUGACCCCGUAACUUCGGGAGAAGGGGUGCCAUCCUCCGGGAUGGCCACAGAAAAUAGGCUCAAGCAACUGUUUAGCAAAAACACAGGUCUAUGCGAAACCGAAAGGUGAGGUAUAUGGGCUGACGCCUGCCCGGUGCUGGAAGGUUAAGAGGAGAAGUCAGGCAACGAAGCUUUGAAUUGAAGCCCCAGUAAACGGCGGCCGUAACUAUAACGGUCCUAAGGUAGCGAAAUUCCUUGUCGGGUAAGUUCCGACCCGCACGAAAGGCGUAAUGAUUUGAGCGCUGUCUCAACAAUGCACCCGGUGAAAUUGAAGUACCAGUGAAGAUGCUGGUUACCUGCGCCAGGACGGAAAGACCCCAUGGAGCUUUACUCUAGUUUGAUACUGGGAUUCGAUUAUACCUGUACAGGAUAGGUGGGAGGCGAAGAAGCAAGGACGCCAGUCUUUGCAGAGCCAUUGUUGGGAUACCACCCUUGUAUGAUUGGAUUUCUAACCUGCGCCCGUGAUCCGGGUGGGGGACACUGUCAGAUGGGGAGUUUGACUGGGGCGGUCGCCUCCGAAAGGGUAUCGGAGGCGCUCAAAGGUUCCCUCAGAAUGGUCGGAAACCAUUCAAAGAGUGCAAAGGCAGAAGGGAGCUUGACUGCGACACCGACGGGUGGAGCAGGUACGAAAGUAGGACUUAGUGAUCCGGUGGUAUAAAGUGGGAUUGCCAUCGCUCAACGGAUAAAAGCUACCCUGGGGAUAACAGGCUUAUCACUCCCAAGAGUUCACAUCGACGGAGUGGUUUGGCACCUCGAUGUCGGCUCAUCGCAUCCUGGGGCUGAAGUCGGUCCCAAGGGUUGGGCUGUUCGCCCAUUAAAGCGGUACGCGAGCUGGGUUCAGAACGUCGUGAGACAGUUCGGUCCCUAUCCGGCGUGGGCGUAAGAUAUUUGAGAGGAGCUGUCCUUAGUACGAGAGGACCGGGAUGGACUGACCGCUGGUGCACCUGUUGGGGAGCAACCCCAUCGCAGGGUAGCCAAGUCGGGCCGGGAUAAACGCUGAAGGCAUCUAAGCGUGAAGCCCCCCUCAAGAUGAGAUAUCUCAUACGCAAGUAGUAAGACCCCUUGAAGACGACGAGGUAGAUAGGGCAGAGGUGUAAGUGUGGCAACAUACUUAGCUGACUGUUACUAAUCGGUCGAGGGUUUAACCAA